RNAcentral lists this ribosomal RNA (3316 nucleotides) under Triticum aestivum (bread wheat). RNAcentral's name for it is "partial small subunit ribosomal RNA". The record is from RNAcentral. Lineage: Eukaryota; Viridiplantae; Streptophyta; Magnoliopsida; Poales; Poaceae.
CAAAUAUUCUCCUUCCAUCUUAAUUUUACACCCAGACAAGAUUUAACUGAGCAUGAAAAUUAUCAUCUUCUGACAUGCAGUUCAGUUUUGCAUUUACAGGCGGGCAUGAAUUAAACUGAAUGUUUUUGCACCAACGAUUAAUCGAAUCUUAUCUAACAUAUAAACAAAUUGAUUAACAAGAGGAACAAAAUAAAUGCCUUGCUUAAAGUGCCACCCAUCACUCUUCUUUCCUUUGCUUCCUCUCCUUCCUCUCUUGCCUUUCAUCUUCCUCCUCUCCUCUGAAAGGGACAGACAGAGACAGAGACAGAGGAGAGCAUAAUUAGUUAACUUGCUUCCAUCUUCCUCCCCUUGUCUAUAAACUUGCCUUGCCAUCACAUAACACCACCACCAAGCUAAACCAUCCAGGCCUCCAUCUCCACCUCAGCUCAGCCAUGGCCUCCUCCUCCUCCUCCUCCUACAUGCCCCUCAGGAGGUCCGACAGCGUCGCCGACAUGAUGCCCGAGGCGCUGCGCCAGAGCCGCUACCAGAUGAAGAGGUGCUUCCAAAGGUAGGUACCACAAGUCCACAACACAAACACUCCUUUCUUUCUUUCUUUCUCUGAAAUGUAUGACGGAUCCUUCCUUGCUCUGCAGGUAUGUCUCCAAGGGCAGGAGGCUGAUGAGGAACCAGCAGCUGAUGGAGGAGCUGGAGGCGUCGGCGGGCGACGACAAGCCCGAGAAGGCCAGGCUCGCCGAGGGCUUCCUCGGCUACGUCAUCUGCUCCACGCAGGAGGCCGUCGUGCUCCCUCCCCUCGUCGCCUUCGCCGUCCGGACCAACCCCGGCGUCUGGGAGUUCAUCAGGGUGCACUCCGGGGACCUCUCCGUCGAGGAGAUCACGCCAUCCGCUUACCUCAAGUGCAAGGAGACCCUCUACGACGAAAAAUGGGCGCGCGACGACAACUCGCUGGAGGUCGAUUUCGGCGCGCUGGACCUCUCCACGCCUCAUCUGACGCUGCCGUCGUCCAUCGGCAACGGGAUGCAGUUCGUCUCCCGGUUCAUGUCGUCAAAGCUGAGCGGCAAGCCGGAGAGCAUGAAGCCGCUGCUGGACUACCUGCUAAAUCUGAACUACCGCGGCGAGAAACUGAUGAUCAGCGACACCAUCGACACCGCCGACAAGCUUCAGACAGCAUUGCUUCUUGCAGAGGUCUUCGUCGCAGGCCUGGAGAAGAGCACACCUUACCAGAAUUUUGAACAAAAGUUUCAGGAGUGGGGAUUGGAGAAGGGGUGGGGUGACACUGCCGAAACAUGCAGAGAAACACUCAACUUCCUCUCCGAAGUGCUCCAGGCGCCGGAUCCGAUCAACAUGGAGAAGUUCUUCAGCAGGGUGCCGUCGGUGUUCAGCAUCGUGAUCUUCUCCAUCCACGGUUACUUUGGUCAAGAGAAGGUCCUUGGGUUGCCGGAUACCGGCGGUCAGGUAGUUUACAUCCUGGACCAAGUUAGAGCUCUUGAAGAGGAAUUGUUGCAAAGAAUCAAGCGGCAGGGCCUGAAUGUUACCCCGAAGAUUCUUGUGUUAACAAGACUCAUACCGGACGCAAAGGGAACCAAGUGCAACGUUGAGCUUGAACCGGUCGAGCACACGAAGCACUCGAGCAUCCUCCGCGUGCCAUUCAAGACUGAUGAUGGGAAAGAUCUUCGCCAGUGGGUCUCCCGGUUUGACAUUUACCCUUACCUGGAGAGAUAUGCCCAGGAUUCUUCUGUCAAGAUUCUUGACAUACUUGAGGGGAAGCCAGACAUGGUCAUCGGCAAUUACACCGAUGGCAAUCUAGUAGCAUCCCUCUUGUCGAGCAAACUCGGGGUCACCCAGGGAACAAUUGCACAUGCUCUUGAGAAGACAAAGUACGACGAUUCGGAUGUCAAGUGGAGAGAAAUGGAUCACAAGUACCAUUUCUCCUGCCAGUUCACUGCCGACAUGAUCGCCAUGAACACUAGCGACUUCAUCAUCGCUAGCACCUACCAAGAAAUAGCCGGAAGCAAAGACAAACCUGGGCAGUAUGAGAGCCACUACGCCUUCACAAUGCCAGGGCUGUGUCGCUACGCCACAGGCGUCAACGUCUUCGAUCCCAAGUUCAACAUCGCCGCCCCUGGCGCUGAUCAAUCCGUUUACUUUCCAUUCACACAAAAGCAGGCUCGGCUGACAGACUUGCACCCCCAAAUCGAGGAGCUACUCUACAGCAAGGAGGACAAUGAUGAGCACUUAGGGUACCUAGGGGACAGAAGCAAGCCAAUCAUCUUCUCGAUGGCAAGGCUCGACAAGGUGAAGAACAUUACCGGGCUGGUCGAAUGGUAUGGUGAGAACAGGAAGCUCAGGGACCUUGUCAACCUGGUCAUCGUUGGGGGGCUCCUGGAACCUUCACAGUCAAACGACAGAGAAGAGAUCGAGGAGAUCAACAAGAUGCACAGCUUGAUGGACAAGUACCAGCUCAAGGGACAGAUCCGCUGGAUCAAAGCACAGACCGAGCGCGUGCGCAACGGCGAGCUGUACCGUUGCAUUGCAGAUACCAGGGGGGCCUUCGUUCAGCCUGCACUCUAUGAGGCAUUUGGACUAACGGUCAUCGAGGCGAUGAACUGCGGGCUGCCAACCUUUGCAACAAAUCAAGGAGGACCAGCGGAAAUCAUCGUCAAUGAGGUUUCGGGUUUCCACAUCAACCCGCUCAACGGCAAGGAGGCAAGCGACAAGAUAGCAGCCUUCUUUCAGAAAUGCAAGGAGGACCCCACCUACUGGAACAAGAUGUCCACUGCCGGACUCCAGCGCAUCUAUGAGUGUUACACGUGGCAGAUUUACGCGACUAAAGUUCUGAACAUGGGGUCGAUGUACGGCUUCUGGAGGACUCUGAACAAGGAAGAGAGGCAGGCCAAACAGCUCUACCUACAGAUGUUCUACAACCUUCAGUUCAGGCAGCUGGUCAAGACUGUCCCUAAGGUAGGCGAACAACCCGCACGGCCUACGGCGGGAAGCACGGCGCCUGCUAGGAUUGCACCGAGGCCAAGAGAAAGAAGGCCGCAGACGAGGAUUCAGAGGAUCGCGACCAGCUUACUCGGCCCGGUGCUCCCGACGUCCAACUUCUCCCAGGAUGCAGCCUGAAGUGAAGACCAAACACCAUAAACCAGAAAUGUGCCCUGUGUUCCUGUGUGUGUGCCAUUGAUUUGGAAAGUUCCAAUGAAACUGGAACUAAUCAUGAUGAUUAUGAGAGUAAUGCAAAGUGUGAAGAAAAGGAGAAAUGUGAGCCCUGCACUCAUUAUGAUAGUGAGUGAAGCAACAGCAGUUAACUGCUUCUGCG